AAUAUACUCCCUUCGUCCGGAAAUACUUGUCCUAGAAAUGGAUAAAAUUGAUGUAUCUACAACUAAAAUAAGUCUAGAUACAACCAUCUGGAGGACAAGUAUUUCCGGACAGAGGAAGUAUAAU
This is a non-coding RNA of Triticum aestivum (bread wheat), 124 nucleotides long. The record is from Rfam. NCBI's taxonomy places the organism in Eukaryota, Viridiplantae, Streptophyta, Magnoliopsida, Poales, Poaceae.